This 377-nucleotide ribosomal RNA is filed under the name uncultured bacterium. Its description in RNAcentral is "bacterial SSU rRNA". It matches the Rfam family "Bacterial small subunit ribosomal RNA", at positions 523 to 898 of the family's 1533-position model. The record is from RNAcentral.
AUACGGAGGGUGCGAGCGUUGUUCGGAAUUAUUGGGCGUAAAGCGCGUGUAGGCGGUUUGAUAAGUCUGAUGUGAAAGCCCCGGGCUCAACCCGGGAAGUGCAUUGGAAACUGUUGGACUUGAGUACUGGAGAGGAAGGGGGAAUUCCCGGUGUAGAGGUGAAAUUCGUAGAGAUCGGGAGGAAUACCAGUGGCGUUGGCGCCCUUCUGGACGGUAACUGACGCUGAGACGCGAAAGCGUGGGGAGCAAACAGGAUUAGAUACCCUGGUAGUCCACGCUGUAAACGAUGAUCACUAGGUGUAGCGGGUACUCAUUCCUGCUGUGCCGCAGCUAACGCGUUAAGUGAUCCGCCUGGGGAUUAUGGUCGCAAGACUAAA